AUUGAACGCUGGCGGCAGGCUUAACACAUGCAAGUCGAGCGAGCGGCGGACGGGUGAGUAAUGUCUGGGAAACUGCCUGAUGGAGGGGGAUAACUACUGGAAACGGUAGCUAAUACCGCAUACCAUCAGAUGUGCCCAGAUGGGAUUAGCUAGUAGGUGGGGUAAUGGCUCACCUAGGCGACGAUCCCUAGCUGGUCUGAGAGGAUGACCAGCCAGACUGGAACUGAGACACGGUCCAGACUACUACGGGAGGCAGCCGUGGGGAAUAUUGCACAAUGGGGGCAAGCCUGAUGCAGCCAUGCCGCGUGUGUGAAGAAGGCCUUCGGGUUGUAAAGCACUUUCAGCGAGGAGGCGUUACUCGCAGAAGAAGCACCGGCUAACUCCGUGCCAGCAGCCGCGGUAAUUC
This 406-nucleotide ribosomal RNA is filed under the name uncultured bacterium. RNAcentral's name for it is "partial 16S ribosomal RNA". It matches the Rfam family "Bacterial small subunit ribosomal RNA", at positions 30 to 526 of the family's 1533-position model. The record is from RNAcentral.